Long non-coding RNA from Sycon ciliatum, 888 nucleotides. RefSeq lists it as uncharacterized. The transcript has 2 exons. Lineage: Eukaryota; Metazoa; Porifera; Calcarea; Leucosolenida; Sycettidae. The record is from RefSeq and is a predicted model, not a curated record.
CUCUCUCUCUCUCUCUCUCUCUCUCUCUCUCUCUCUCUCUCUCUCUCUCUCUCUCUCUCUCUCUCUCUCUCUCUCUGUCACUCUCUCUCUCUCUCUCUCUCUCUCUCUCUCUCUCUCUCUCUCUCUCUCUCUCUCUCUCUCUCUCUCUCUCUCUCUCUGUCUCUCUCUCUCUCUCGUUCUCUCUCUACCUCUGCCUUCCGUUGUCGUUGUCAAACUCUCUUUUCCAGAGCAACUAGCAAGAGAACUAGUUUCAAGAGCAGGUGGAUUUGUCAACAAUUACGAGAACAUCAUAGAGUCCUUCAUUGAGAAUCACCGGCGUGGUGCACCGACUGUUAACAACGUUUCUGGCCAGCUUCAUUACAUCAACAAGAAGAUAGACUUGACGUGUGAGCAGCUACUGGAGAUUUUGGCUGAGUUCCUCAAGGGAGCUGCUCUGCAGGGUGUGGCGAAAAUUAUUGCACGCACAGAGUUCUCAAGCUAGUGACCAGCGUCAGCUGACACGCGGCACCCCUUGUAACCUCUACAGGAGUGCAGCGUUCAAGGUUUUUCGGCUGGCCUCUAACUAAGCGCCGGUCCACUCGUAAUAGUCUCUCACUUCCCCGUGCUAAUUCGCCGCAUUUACCAACUCUCCUCUGUUUUUGUCCUACAGCUGUUGGCUUCAACUUCCCCAGCAUGUUAAGACAUCAAAAUGUCUUUCCAGCUUUAAAAAUGCACUCCGAUCGCAUAAUGUAGUACGAUAGUACAAUAGGAUCUCCUUGCUGGAUUCUUGUCCAUCCUUCCCUCUUCUCUUUUUCUUUAUUCUUUUCUUUUCUUGCUGUGGUUGGCUAUCACCCCUCUCUCGCACUUUGCGUGCCAAUUGGUCAAAACUAAUAAAAAGCGUGUGCGUCA